Molecule: unclassified non-coding RNA, 261 nt
Filed under: rhizosphere metagenome
Description: partial ribosomal RNA internal transcribed spacer region
Source: RNAcentral
GUAGGUGAACCUGCGGAAGGAUCAUUAUCGAUUCAACGAAGUGCCUGUGAGUUGUGCUGGCCUCUCUCGGGGCAUGUGCACGCUUCAUGGGUCUUCACACAUCCACACCUGUGAACCAAUUGUAGGUCUUUCGGGACCUAUGUCUUCUCAUAACACACUGUAUGUCUAGAAUGUCAUUAUGAUUAUCGUCUGCUUCCUUUGUGGAGUUGGGCUGAUAAGAUAAACAAUAUACAACUUUCAGCAACGGAUCUCUUGGCUCUC